GCAGUGAGGAAUAUUGGACAAUGGGCGCAAGCCUGAUCCAGCCAUGCCGCGUGCAGGAUGACGGUCCUAUGGAUUGUAAACUGCUUUUGUACGAGAAGAAACACUGAUUCGUGAAUCAGCUUGACGGUAUCGUAAGAAUAAGGAUCGGCUAACUCCGUGCCAGCAGCCGCGGUAAUACGGAGGAUCCAAGCGUUAUCCGGAAUCAUUGGGUUUAAAGGGUCCGUAGGCGGUUUAGUAAGUCAGUGGUGAAAGCCCAUCGCUCAACGGUGGAACGGCCAUUGAUACUGCUGAACUUGAAUUAUUAGGAAGUAACUAGAAUAUGUAGUGUAGCGGUGAAAUGCUUAGAGAUUACAUGGAAUACCAAUUGCGAAGGCAGGUUACUACUAAUUGAUUGACGCUGAUGGACGAAAGCGUGGGUAGCGAACAGGAUUAGA
This 434-nucleotide ribosomal RNA is filed under the name uncultured bacterium. RNAcentral's name for it is "bacterial SSU rRNA". It matches the Rfam family "Bacterial small subunit ribosomal RNA", at positions 351 to 782 of the family's 1533-position model. The record is from RNAcentral.